GGGCCCGUAGCUCAGCAUGGUCAGAGCACACGACUGAUAACCGUUCGAUAGAGUUCAAAUCUCUCCGGGCCCACCA
RNAcentral lists this transfer RNA (76 nucleotides) under Candidatus Bathyarchaeota archaeon. Its description in RNAcentral is "tRNA-Ile". It matches the Rfam family "tRNA". Rfam says of the family: Transfer RNA (tRNA) molecules are approximately 80 nucleotides in length. Their secondary structure includes four short double-helical elements and three loops (D, anti-codon, and T loops). Further hydrogen bonds mediate the characteristic L-shaped molecular structure. tRNAs have two regions of fundamental functional importance: the anti-codon, which is responsible for specific mRNA codon recognition, and the 3' end, to which the tRNAs corresponding amino acid is attached (by aminoacyl-tRNA synthetases). tRNAs cope with the degeneracy of the genetic code in two manners: having more than one tRNA (with a specific anti-codon) for a particular amino acid; and 'wobble' base-pairing, i.e. permitting non-standard base-pairing at the 3rd anti-codon position. The record is from RNAcentral. Lineage: Archaea; Thermoproteati; Candidatus Bathyarchaeota.